GCAGCCGCCACGCCCCGGGAGAGGACCGACCGCCCAGACCGCCGGUCCCGGGGCCCCCUGGGCCACGCCGAUCACGGGGAGCCCCUCGACUGCCUCCCAGAACAAAGUGGGAAAGGGAAGCUUAGCCCGCCGCUGCCGCCUCCGAGCAGCCCGCCAGGACUCUGGCUACUGGAGAUGGGCGCCCGGCUAUCGCGGCGACGGCUGCCGGCGGACCCAUCCCUGGCCCUGGACGCGCUGCCCCCGGAGCUGCUGGUGCAGGUGCUGAGCCACGUGCCGCCACGCUCCUUGGUCACGCGAUGCCGCCCAGUGUGCCGCGCCUGGCGCGACAUAGUGGACGGGCCCACUGUGUGGCUGCUGCAGCUGGCCCGCGACCGCAGCGCCGAGGGCCGCGCACUCUACGCAGUGGCUCAACGCUGCCUGCCCAGCAACGAAGACAAGGAGGAGUUCCCGCUGUGCGCCCUGGCGCGCUACUGUCUGCGCGCGCCCUUCGGCCGCAAUCUCAUCUUCAACUCCUGCGGAGAGCAGGGCUUCAGAGGCUGGGAGGUGGAGCAUGGCGGGAACGGCUGGGCCAUAGAAAAGAACCUAACACCGGUGCCUGGGGCUCCUUCGCAGACCUGCUUCGUGACCUCUUUCGAGACUGUUUGCCCUGCCCCCUGCCAUCUCUCCUUCCCAGAUGGUGCUCCAAGAGGCAGCUUGUGGACCUGGUGAUGGAAGGGGUGUGGCAGGAGCUGCUGGACAGCGCCCAGAUUGAGAUCUGUGUGGCUGACUGGUGGGGCGCUCGAGAGAACUGCGGCUGCGUCUACCAGCUCCGGGUCCGCCUUCUGGAUGUGUAUGAAAAGGAAGUGGUCAAGUUCUCAGCCUCACCUGACCCGGUCCUUCAGUGGACUGAGAGGGGCUGCCGACAGGUCUCCCACGUCUUCACCAACUUUGGCAAGGGCAUCCGCUACGUAUCUUUUGAGCAGUACGGGAGAGACGUGAGUUCCUGGGUGGGGCACUAUGGCGCCCUUGUGACCCACUCCAGUGUGAGGGUCAGGAUCCGUCUGUCCUAGCGACUGGACUACUGCCUGACGUUGUCAGUCAAGACCAGCCUUGCAGCCAGGUGCAGUGGCUCACACCUGUGGAAUCCCAGCACUUCAGGAGGCCGAGGUGGGAGGAUCACUGGAGCUCGGGAGUUCAAGACCAGCCUGGGCAACAUAGUGAAACCGUCUCCACAAAUAAUUUUUAAAAAAUUAGCCAGGCAUGGUGGUGCCGCCUGUAGUCCCAGCUACUCAGGAGGCUUGGGUGGGAGGAUUGCCUGAGACCAGGAGGUUGAGGCUGCAGUGAGCCGUGAUUUCACCACCACUCCAGCCUGGGUGAGAAAGCAAGACCCUAUAUCAAUGAAAAAAAAAAAAAAAAAGACCAGCUUUGCAGCCAGAAGCCAGAGGAUACCCAGGGACAGUAGGGCUCCCAGGUGGCUGGUUCUCAGCACACCUUCCAUGAAUCUGCUUGCUGCUGCUUCAGUGUGGUGGCCAUCAUGCUGUGUGACAAACCAGGCUGUUCACAGCUUCCUCAGCCCCCCAGAAGGGGAGUGUCAGGAAGAGACAUUUAGUUCAUUUGCCUGCAAAUUUUCUUCUCCUGCAAGGAUCUCGGUGGACUCAGUCACAAAACAAAGGCUAAACCAGGAUUUAUAAGAGAGGGCUUAUAAAUCCCUCUGCCGACGCAGGGAGCAGAGACUUGCCGGCAUGUUUUGGGGGUAAUGAUCGUGGGCAGGGAGCAGAGGUCCGCUGAGGCAGUCUGUCCUUGAGACUAACAAAGUCAUCUGCUGUUUGGGGAAAUCUCUGGUGUUGGGAACAGGCCCCCAAAUCUGGCCAUAAACUGGCCCCAAAACUGGCCAUAAACAAAAUAUCUGCAGCACUGUGACAUGUUUGUGAUGGCCAUGACCCCCACCCUGAAGGUUGUGGGUUUACUGGAACGAGGGCGAGGAACACCUGGCCCACCCAGGGCGGAAAACCGCUUAAAGGGGUUCCUGAACCACAAACCAUAGCAUAAGUGAUCUGUGCCUUAACGACAUGUUCCUGCUGCAGAUAACUAGCCAGACCCAUCCCUUUAUUUCAGCCCAUCCCUUUAUUUCCUGUAAGAAAUGUUUUUAGUUAAUCUAUAAUCUAUAGAAAUAAUGCUUAUCACUGGCUUGCUGUCAAUAAAUAUGUGGGUAAAUCUCUGUUCAAGGCUCUCAGCUCUGAAGGCCGUGAGACCCCUGAUUUCCCACUCCACACCCUA
Molecule: RNA transcript, 2256 nt
Organism: Homo sapiens (human)
Lineage: Eukaryota; Metazoa; Chordata; Mammalia; Primates; Hominidae
Gene: FBXO17
Gene name: F-box protein 17
Exons: 6
Source: RefSeq, marked reviewed